CUACGGGGCGCACCAGUAAGGGAUAUUGCGACAAUGGGCGAAAGCCUGACGCAGCAACGCCGCGUGCGGGAUGACGGCCUUCGGGUUGUAAACCGCUUUUCUGAGUGAAGAGGAAGGACGGUAACUCAGGAAUAAGUCUCGGCUAACUACGUGGCCAGCAGCCGCGGUAAAACGUAGGAGGCGAGGCGUUAUCCGGAUUUACUGGGUGUAAAGCGCGUGCAGGCGGAUGCGUAAGUCGUGCGUGAAAGCGCUCUGGCUCAACCGGGCGAGGACGUGCGAAACUGCGUAACUAGAGGUAGGUAGAGGCGUGUGGAAUUCCGGGUGUAGUGGUGAAAUGCGUAGAUAUCCGGAGGAACACCAGUGGCGAAGGCGACACGCUGGGCCUGACCUGACGCUAAGACGCGAAAGCAUGGGUAGCGAACGGGAUUAGAUACCCGAGUAGUC
This 444-nucleotide ribosomal RNA is filed under the name uncultured bacterium. Its description in RNAcentral is "partial 16S ribosomal RNA". It matches the Rfam family "Bacterial small subunit ribosomal RNA", at positions 339 to 795 of the family's 1533-position model. The record is from RNAcentral.